RNAcentral lists this ribosomal RNA (495 nucleotides) under uncultured bacterium. RNAcentral describes it as "partial 16S ribosomal RNA". It matches the Rfam family "Bacterial small subunit ribosomal RNA", at positions 28 to 507 of the family's 1533-position model. The record is from RNAcentral.
GACGAACGCUGGCGGCGUGCCUAAUACAUGCAAGUAGAACGCUGAAGGAGGAGCUUGCUUCUCUGGAUGAGUUGCGAACGGGUGAGUAACGCGUAGGUAACCUGCCUGGUAGCGGGGGAUAACUAUUGGAAACGAUAGCUAAUACCGCAUAAUAGCAGUUGUUGCAUGACAACUGUUUGAAAGGUGCAAUUGCACCACUACCAGAUGGACCUGCGUUGUAUUAGCUAGUUGGUGGGGUAACGGCUCACCAAGGCGACGAUACAUAGCCGACCUGAGAGGGGGAUCGGCCACACUGGGACUGAGACACGGCCCAGACUCCUACGGGAGGCCGCAGUAGGGAAUCUUCGGCAAUGGACGGAAGUCUGACCGAGCAACGCCGCGUGAGUGGAGAAGGUUUUCGGAUCGUAAAGCUCUGUUGUAAGAGAAGAACGAGUGUGAGAGUGGAAAGUUCACACUGUGACGGUAUCAUACCAGAAAGGGACGGCUAACUACGUG